AGAAGAAAGAGGGGAGGAGCUAAAGGAGAAUGAGGAAGAGAGACGAUCCAGGUCUGUAGAGGCAGUGUACCUGUCUUCAGUGGGCUCCUGGCGGAGGUGACAGCCCGCAGUAUCGAACAGCUCCACAAGGUGGCAGAGUUGAUCCUCCACGGACAGGACCUGGAGAAACCUGCCAGAGACCAGGCUCACAUACUCACCAGGUUGACGUGUGCCAUGUGUCGGGAGGUGGGUUGUCUUGCCAGGAAGUUCUCUGAUACUCUGCUUGUUGCAGGUUGACGUGUGCCAUGUGUCGGGAGGUGGGUUGUCUUGCCAGGAAGUUCUCUGAUACUCUGCUCACCGUUGGGGUUCAGAGAAAAG
Oncorhynchus nerka (sockeye salmon) is the source of this 357-nucleotide long non-coding RNA. RefSeq lists it as uncharacterized. NCBI's taxonomy places the organism in Eukaryota, Metazoa, Chordata, Actinopteri, Salmoniformes, Salmonidae. The record is from RefSeq and is a predicted model, not a curated record. The transcript is spliced from 4 exons.